RNAcentral lists this ribosomal RNA (522 nucleotides) under uncultured bacterium. RNAcentral's name for it is "bacterial SSU rRNA". It matches the Rfam family "Bacterial small subunit ribosomal RNA", at positions 1 to 526 of the family's 1533-position model. The record is from RNAcentral.
CCCUUAGAGUUUGAUCCUGGCUCAGGAUGAACGCUUUCGGGAGGCUUAACACAUGCAAGUCGAGGGGUAUAAGUAGCAAUAUUCAGAGACCGGCGCACGGGUGAGUAACGCGUAUGCAACCAGCCUGUUACAGGGGGAUAGCCCGGAGAAAUACGGAUUAAUACCGCAUAGUUUCGUUAUACCGCAUGGUAUUACAAAUAAAGUUGAGGCGGUAACAGAUGGGCAUGCGUGACAUUAGCUAGUUGGUGAGGUAACGGCUCACCAAGGCUACGAUGUCUAGGGGUUCUGAGAGGAAGAUCCCCCACACUGGUACUGAGACACGGACCAGACUCCUACGGGAGGCAGCAGUGAGGAAUAUCGGUCAAUGGGCGAGAGCCUGAACCAGCCAUCCCGCGUGCAGGAAGAAUGCCCUAUGGGUAGUACACUGCUGUACCACAUGAAGAACAUCCCGAACGUGUCCGGGACUGACGGUAGUGCGUGAAUAAGCACCGGCUAACUCCGUGCCAGCAGCCGCGGUAAUAC